Molecule: transfer RNA, 72 nt
Filed under: Pangasianodon gigas (Mekong giant catfish)
Lineage: Eukaryota; Metazoa; Chordata; Actinopteri; Siluriformes; Pangasiidae
Description: tRNA-Glu
Rfam family: tRNA
About the family: Transfer RNA (tRNA) molecules are approximately 80 nucleotides in length. Their secondary structure includes four short double-helical elements and three loops (D, anti-codon, and T loops).
Source: RNAcentral
UCACUGGAAGACUAGUGGUUAGGCCACAGCACUCUCACCGCUGUGGCCCGGGUUCCAUUCCCGGCCGGGGAA